This is a long non-coding RNA of Leptonychotes weddellii (Weddell seal), 2663 nucleotides long. RefSeq lists it as uncharacterized. The record is from RefSeq and is a predicted model, not a curated record. Lineage: Eukaryota; Metazoa; Chordata; Mammalia; Carnivora; Phocidae.
UUAGGGAGCCCAAGGAGGGGGGCGCUCAGCAUCUUCUCAACCACGUCCCUGCUUUUCAGAUCCUUCCUGACCACUUUUCCUUUGUGAUGACUCCCAUCCUGCUUUUUGUUCCUGGGAGUCCUGGAGACCAGCUGCUGUGGGGCCCAGAUUCCCCUCUUGCAGGGCUCUACCUACCCCCUGGCCCCCUUCCUCCUCUGCAGACUUUCCUAGGUCCUGUGCAGGGCAGCUCCUCAGAAGAUCAAGCCCCCAGCCUAAAUGACCGUGUGUCCAGCCUGGGCUACACACCCAUCCCUAGCCCCUGAGCUGAGGAGGGGUCUCAGGGUACAAAUAGAGCUUCUGAGAAGCCCCUACAAGGGAGGCAGUUCUGAGGGGCCUGUCCCACUAUUUCCCAGCUGACUCACAUGCCUCUGGUCUUCCCCGGCUGUGGUCCCUUCCUGGCCACUGCCUGCCUCCAGGCGAACCUUCUCGUAGUAUACCCCCAUCCUCUCCUGCUCUGACAUCUCCUGUUCCCUCUGGGCUGGUGGCCUGGGGAACCCGCUGGGAGGGUUGUGGUAGCGAGCAGUGCUUCUGGGGGCCGGGGCAGGCUGAUGGCAUCAAGUCUGUGCUCCUUAGGCUGGUGAACUACUAAGGAGGUGAACAGGACACAUUCUUUGCCCUCUUCGGGUCUCCAGCUGCGCCUAAGAACUAAGCUGCCAUCAACAGGAGAGAAGCAUACACGUUCUACUAAAGUCUUUACAGGUGCACGGGAGCCUUCACAAGAGAACGAAGACCCAGAGAAGUGACCAGAGCAGGAACGAUCAAUAGCAAACACUCGGGUGACAAGAAACGCUUAGUGAAGAAGCGAAGUGACAGAGGGGUUGGGGCAGGGAGAGAAUGUUGCUGGGAGUCACUGCAAGAUAAGGCUUGUUUGCACAGAUUUCUCUCCGCCUCAUUCAUCUCUGGUGACUUGCAGAACAGUACAGAGCAUUCCUGGGUACCUGCAUCCCGACUCCUUCAAUUUACCAUUUGUGCGUUACCCUUUGUAUACAUCCUAUACACAUCCGAUUCCUGCAACCAAGAAUUCUCUUACGUAACCACAACACACUGAUGGAAACCAGGAAAUUAUAAGACAUACGGUAGUAUUUUCCACUCUGCAGACCUCACUCAGCUUGUCAGAUCUCUGCUUCGUGCAGGGUGCCUGAUGCAUUUAACCCGGGAUAAUCUCUCGUUUUUGUCAUAAAUGAUAACAAUGCCUGGAAAUAUCAUGGUUUUUACUUGUUAAACAUCUACUAAGACAGGAGCUUGGAAUAUAGUGUAUUACCAUUCCCAGCAACACACCGAUGGAAAGGGUUAUAUUUCCAGUUUUACAGUUGAAAAAAGAGAGAGACUGAGAGAGGUGCUGAUAAAAUCCUCCUCUCUUCUGUGAGGACUGAAUGAGGUAGCACGUGGGGAGUGCGUGGCGUAAGGCCAAUGUGGAGAAGGAGAAAAGGGGCUCCGGGGAUUUUCUCCAGCAACGGCUGUCGCCCGCCCCCUAUAGGACAACGGUGUCAGCACAGCAUCUUGGGACCCCCGCCUGGCCUGCUGGUGAGCCUGUGUCUGUGGGUGACUGGCCUGGCGUGGGCCGGUGUCUGUUCUUGAUGUUUUGCACCCAAACAGGGGGGAUGUGGAAAAGUCCUCUCCACGCUCUACACUUGAAAAUAUCCAGGGAAGAGGGCUGGUCGGGGGGUAGGUGGCAGGACCUUCCUUCAGACACAGAAACAUCUUUCUCUGCUCCUCGGGGCACAUUUGCCACGCCUGGAGACAUUCUCGCUUGCCAAACGGCGGAUGGGGUGCUACGGGAAUCUAGUGCCUACGAGGCCUGAGAUGCUAUCUGCAUUGCAUGGGAUGGCCCCCAACCACUGGGACAAGCCCCUAUUAUCCAACCAAAACAUGAGUAGUGCUGGGGCUGGGAAACCCUGACUAAGAGUAAUGUGUAGAGUGAUGCUGUGGGUUCUUCAAACAGGCUGUCUAUUUCCAUCACCUCAGAUCUGGCUGCUUCCAGCAUGAUUGUGUAAGCUCACUGCCAAAUGCCAAAGACCAAGUUCCCUUUUAUGUGGCCUGUGAGAUGCCGAUUACGUAAUACCAUUUAAUAAACAAGAAAUGGGCAAGACGUGGAACUCUUGUGGAGCUCUGCCUCAUUCAUCCCCACCCAUUGGCAAAGCAUUAUUUCAACAUCUCAAGGCAAACGAGGCCUUCUAAGUCUCUGUGCGCCAGGCUGAUCGCGAAGCGUGGAGCGGAUUUUCUGCCCUUUCGCAGUGACGCCUCCCUGCCACCCUUUGAGGUCAGCAGCCUCCUACGUCAGUGCCUAGACAGGUAGCGGGCCAGCCCAGCAAGCCCGUGGCCCUGCGGGCUGGUGCUCAGGGGUCCUGCGUGAGCAGGGACGGGGCGGGACGGAGAGCUGGCAAGGAAGAGAAGUUUGCCUUCACAUCGCUGCAGGAGCCUCUAGAAGAAAAGUGUCCUGCCCUUCACCUUAAAGAUUUGAUUUACAAAACACAGGAAGGCAAUCCUCCCAUAAAUCAAAGCUCCUUUCUGGGGUUCCCAGAGCACUGGUGUGUGGGUGCUGCUCCGGGUAUGUUGUCAGGAGCUGCCCAGGAGGGCUCGGGGCAGUCGGGGAGGGAGGCAGGGAGGGCCUGAGAAGGGAAGGA